UCCAAGUCUUAUUUCUGUUCCUGUAAAAGAUCCUCUCUGAGUCUCAGUCCUGCUCCUGCAGUAGAUCCUCAGUGCCCAGGAGACACUCCUCCUGCUCCGACCUCAGUGAGAGUGUUAAUAAGCUGAGGAGUUGAAUGAGUGUCAUAAUUGAGUCUCUAUAAAUUGAAACCUUUAGAGACCCAGAAAGAAACCCAUCCUCAUCCUCAUCCUCAUCUUCAUCUUCAUCAUCUUCAUCCUCAGCGUCCAUUCAUUAUAACUCUUACAUAGUUGAGGUUAUAACCCCAUUAAAAGAGGUUAUAAAGCCAUUAAAGCAAACUGUAUAUAUUAAUUACAAUCCAAAUCCAUAUUCAUGGAUUUAUCACUGGUUCAGUCUGCUUUUGAGAACAUUUUAAAGAUCUAAAUAAAAAGCUGUGAAAGGAGUAAAAAAAAACAAUAAAGAUUUAAUUGAAAAAUGUAAUGAAAAGCACAAAUAUUCCAUUAAAACUCUUCCAAAAUGAUA
Molecule: long non-coding RNA, 499 nt
Organism: Silurus meridionalis
Lineage: Eukaryota; Metazoa; Chordata; Actinopteri; Siluriformes; Siluridae
Exons: 2
Source: RefSeq, a predicted model, not a curated record